AGUGGGGAAUAUUGCACAAUGGAGGAAACUCUGAUGCAGCAACGCCGCGUGGAGGAUGACACAUUUCGGUGCGUAAACUCCUUUUAUAUGAGAAGAUAAUGACGGUAUCAUAUGAAUAAGCACCGGCUAACUUCGUGCCAGCAGCCGCGGUAAUACGAGGGGUGCAAGCGUUACUCGGAAUCACUGGGCGUAAAGAGCAUGUAGGCGGUUAAUUAAGUUGGAAGUGAAAUCCUAUGGCUCAACCAUAGAACUGCUUCCAAAACUGAUUAACUAGAGUAUGGGAGAGGUAGAUGGAAUUUCUGGUGUAGGGGUAAAAUCCGUAGAGAUCAGAAGGAAUACCGAUUGCGAAGGCGAUCUACUGGAACAUUACUGACGCUAAGAUGCGAAAGCGUGGGGAGCAAACAGGAUUAGAUACCCUGGUAGUCCACGCCCUAAACGAUGCACACUAGUUGUUGCUAUGCUAGACAUAGCAGUAAUGCAGUUAACACAUUAAGUGUGCCGCCUGGGGAGUACGGUCGCAAGAUUAAAACUCAAAGGAAUAGACGGGGACCCGCACAAGCGGUGGAGCAUGUGGUUUAAUUCGACGAUACGCGAAGAACCUUACCUGGUCUUGACAUAGACAGAAUUUAGUAGAGAUAUAAAAUGCCAGUUUACUGGAGCUGUUAUACAGGUGCUGCACGGCUGUCGUCAGCUCGUGUCGUGAGAUGUUGGGUUAAGUCCCGCAACGAGCGCAACCCUCGUGUCUAGUUACUAACAGUUCGGCUGAGGACUCUAGACAGACUGCCUGGGUAACCAGGAGGAAGGUGAGGACGACGUCAAGUCAUCAUGGCCCUUACGGCCAGGGCUACACACGUGCUACAAUGGGGUAUACAGAGAGUCGCAAUACCGCGAGGUGGAGCAAAUCUUCAAAAUAUCUCCCAGUUCGGAUAGCAGUCUGCAACUCGACUGCUUGAAGUUGGAAUCGCUAGUAAUCGUGAAUCAGCAAUGUCACGGUGAAUACGU
This 1002-nucleotide ribosomal RNA is filed under the name uncultured bacterium. RNAcentral describes it as "bacterial SSU rRNA". It matches the Rfam family "Bacterial small subunit ribosomal RNA", at positions 353 to 1371 of the family's 1533-position model. The record is from RNAcentral.